This 368-nucleotide transfer-messenger RNA is filed under the name Chitinophagaceae. Its description in RNAcentral is "Ferruginibacter sp016715365 Standard tmRNA". It matches the Rfam family "transfer-messenger RNA". From Rfam's summary of the family: Bacterial tmRNA, also known as 10Sa RNA or SsrA, is named for its dual tRNA and mRNA-like properties. RNAcentral also lists the same sequence under 1 other name. Lineage: Bacteria; Pseudomonadati; Bacteroidota; Chitinophagia; Chitinophagales. The record is from RNAcentral.
GGGGCUGACCGGUUUUGACAGCAUAGCUCUUUGUAAGUGUAAGCAUGUAGUGCGUUGCGUAAUUAGCACUUUAAUCAGAAUGCGAAAAUUUUAUAUGGCAAUACUAGUAUGCCAUGGCUGCUUAAUCGAUAGAUUGCACCAUUAGGGCCGUUGAACAGGUUGUUCUGUUACCAUGUUCUUCCGCCGACUCAAAAACAAAACAGAAUGCUGCAGCGGAAUGAUGUGACCGCUGCUUAAGAUCAUUCAUCUAAGGAUUCAGUUGGUUUGUUAUGCCCCUGCUGUUUCCCUACAACCAAUGCAUAAAUAAACAUGUAGAAAGCUUACGGCGAAUAUGUUUGGACCAGGGUUCGAUUCCUGCAGCUCCACCA